RNAcentral lists this long non-coding RNA (16461 nucleotides) under Prunus persica (peach). RNAcentral's name for it is "long non-coding RNA (PPER_LNC005492)". The record is from RNAcentral. Lineage: Eukaryota; Viridiplantae; Streptophyta; Magnoliopsida; Rosales; Rosaceae.
UCCAAUAUUGUUGUAGAUUUUGCCUUCAGCAAUGCUGUAUAAUGCUUUUCGGUGGUUCGUUUUCGUUAGGAGGAGGCUAUUCUUGCCGCCGCCGCCGCCGCCUUGACAUUCAUAUUCAUUAGGGAUCAAGAGCAUGGGAAGUAGGUUGUUAUGCCGCCACCGCUGUGUUGCUUAAUUAUAGUCUUUUGCAAGAGAACGCCAUUGCUUGCAGACGGCAGCAAAAGAAACAUGGUCAAUGGGCUCAAACAAAUUAUCUAGAACCAAAAACACAGGCAGCAGAGGAAGACUUGCCCAUUCUGGUGAUGAUAUGUACCUACUGCAACUGUAGUAUUUGAAGGCAACACCAGCGGCCAUGUUCCCACAACGACGCUUCUUAUUAUUAGGGUACAUGACACCAAAACGAACAAGCACUACAAAUUAAGAAGAAGAAGAAGAAGAAACAAAAUAUUGUACGUACCAAGAAACCAACCCUAAGAUUUUCCUGGCUAUUUAUAAAAUAUACGAAGCGGGUAGAGAAGAGAUAACACAUUAGCACAAGUCCUCUUGUAUGUAUAGAACUCAAAAUCGUAAUAAUCUCAUAGUAAGUAAUUAGGCAAUAAUAAUAUAAUAUUGCAAUAUUUUCGUUUUCUUUUCCUACUUCUUAUUAUAAUAUAUUGUUCGUUUAUUUCCUCGUUCAAUGGCAAGAGAAUCAAGUACGGUAAAUAUUGGCUUUGUUUGGAAGGCAAAUAUUAAGUGAUAAAAUAUUAUAUUCUUGUUAAAUUGUGGCGAUUUGAUAUGAUUUUUCAAGGAUUUCGUGGAACUAUAAAUAACAAUUCUUUUGCAACCAGAAUUCUUAUACACUAAGUAAUCUUGGCCUCCAAGGAAUUAGGUCAGUCAACCAACCACUACUGUAUUUGUACUCACGUGCUCGGAUUAGGGCAUACCAUUUUUAGAGCCGGCAUUGGGGGUGGGCGAGAGGGGCCUUGGCCAUGGCCCUCCAAUUAAGGGGCCCUAAAUUUAUAUACAUAUAUACUAUUAUCCAAUUUAUUAUAAAUAAAUAAAGCAAUUAAAUUAAAUUUCUUCGUUUCCUCUAUCCAAAAAGUUUCUUCGUUACCCACGCAAAAGCAGAAACAUGUGCUUGACGAAGGCGACUCCUUCCCAGAAGGCGAUUCCUCUCCUAGUUAGUUUCUGCCUGGAAGAACUCUAUUUAAUCCACCCAUCUCUUAAUAAUCCACCACCAUAUUUUCUCAUUUCUCCCCAUCUCUCUUCAAUCCAUCCAUUAUUUUCAAUUUCUCUCAUUCUUUUUUUUCUCAUAUCAUAUUGUAACCCUAAGAAUCAAUCUCACACUAAAAAGCUCACAAAUUGUCUUGGAGAUUGAUGGUGACCAAGAGGAGAGGAACAUGAGAAAUUGAAAAGGUAAUAUGAUUUAUAAUUUAUAAUUUUAUUUUUUCAUACAUUUGUUCCUACCCAUCAAACUAUUUUUUCAAUUUCUAGAUUAUACAUGGACAAUGACUUUGAUGUUAAGAGACUUAGACUCUACUUUAUAAUGACCAUGUAGGAUUAUGCUCUAUAAUUAUUUAUUGUAAAAUCAUUAUUCAAGCGCUCUAUGCUAAGGGAAGGGCCUUAUUUAGUUUAUCACCUAGGGCCAGCCCUCGGUAUGCUUAGCAUAUUGCUCAUGUUUAUGAUCUGGUCCAUGUUUAUUAACUGUGCGAUCGACAAAUUAGACAGCAGCAGAUCUCGAGCAAAAGAAAAGACAUUGAAUAGUACGUGUUUAAAACUAUGAUGAUGUAUGAUCCAUGUAAACCAAAACCAAGCACUAACAAAAGCUGAGGGAAGGGAAGAAAACCAUUUCAUUUGAUCUCUCAACGUCAUUUGUGAGCCCCUCCAUAUGUUUGUGCAAAAUAUUGUAUGUAGAAACACAAAAUAUAGUUAAAAAUAUAAAAUGCCAAAUAAUAUUGCGCCAGGGCAUUAGAAGUACCAUUUAGCAUAUACAUUCUACUAAUACGAGAGAUAUCUAAAAUUUCAAUUGAUAUAUUACCGACCUUCAAAUUGACUUUUCAGUUCUGCAUUUAGGGAUUUUUGCAAAGCAAGUUUCAUGGAUAAUUCCUGCAUCUGCAGACCAACAAUAGCAAAUCAUAUUAAGCAGAUCAUCACAACCAAACAGACGACCACCUCCAAGAGAAUAAGAGUGCAUACAUUUGUUAGAAAACAAAAUGAGGACAGUAUAUUUGAAAGCAUGCACCUAUUAACACAUCGAAGAUGUUCAUAUUUGCUUCGGUUCUAACAGUAGCAUACUUCGGUGGCAAAAGCAGUAUUAUUUUAUUUAAAAGGACUCUGAUGCCCAAAUUUUUUGAAACAUUUAAUGCUUGCAAAUAAACAUCCACAGUCUAACCUAAUCCCCCUCCAAAACGUUGAAAAGAAAGACUUGUCAAAAUUUGCAUGUAGGGAAAUUGCAGAGUCCUCUAUUAAUUUCUCACACCCAGGAAAAUUCGACGAAUAAAAAAAUUGCAAGGAAAAACAAAAGAUGGUGGUUAUAGCUGAGGAUAAAAUUAACUCAAGAUACUGAAUGCACAUAAUAACAUCUAAAAUAUAGUGAACGCAACUGCAGCACCUUUCCCUCAGAAGCUUCCUUGCCUAUCUCCUCAUUUUCCUCUUGCCGGGUCCUACAUUUAGCCAUUAACUGCUUCCCCAUCUUGCUUGUAGGAGUAAAACUGAGAAGCUUCCUUUUUCUUUGCUUUCUCUAACUGAUAGGAAGAACAAACCAUGAACAAAAAGAUGAAGAAUGCUAAUGACUUUUGAAAAGAAACAUUCACUAACCUGUUCUUUCAAUGACUCCUCAGAGUUCUUCAGGGACUGAAGAUAAUUGGUGACCAAUUUAGGAUCUAGAAGGAUAGGUUGAAAUCACCUUUUUAAUGGACAUACAGAAGAUGCACCUAAAAAAAUGACGAGGAAUUGACUCUCUAAAACAUAUAAUUUUACAUAAUACAACAAGAAAGGGACCCUAAAAGGCUAGUGUUCAUUCAGAAAUGAAGAAUGCUGCUUUCAAAUCUCAGAUUUUGCAGCUUCAAGUUCCAUCUGAAACGAAGGGAAACAAUCCAUUAACAAAUAGAGAAUUUAACAAUGAAUCAAAAGCAUAUAACAAGUAAGACUCUAGUGAAUGUAUCAACAAGUGCCAAGAAAUUCUUCGAGUUUGUGAUGAAAUUACGUUCAUUUAAUAUUUAAUAUUUAUCACCACAACUAUAAGCAUCCAAUAUUUUACCUAGUUGACUAAAAGAAAUUCAGAAUUUAUAUUUCGAUAUCUGAAGAAAAGGUUGAACAACAAAUACAUACUUGGCAUGUUGCAAGAGUAUCUUUACAGUUUUGAAGACUGCAAAAAGAGUUGCAAUAAAAGUAUAAAAAUCAGGACCUAAAGAAAAUUCAAUGCAUUAUAAUUUCCAGUGAUAUAGAAGUUUAAUCAGUGAAGCAUAACCCAUUGUUCCUCAAUACGUUUCAUGAAGAGACAAAAUCAUUCCUGUUGCAACACCAGGAGCAGUUUCUUCAACUUUUGAGUUCCCUGCAUUGUACACAUAAUCAUUAGAUAAAAUGAACAAAGGAGAAUAUAUACCGCAGAACUCUCUUAUAUAAGCAAGAAUUUGUGGAAGCCAAUGCAUGCAUGUAACUUCUUAGAAAUAGAGACCGGUUUACACAUAACAAAAUCCUACUCUUUAACAUAUUUUCUGACAUUGGACAAAAACUGCCACAUCCCAAGUAUAACUCUUCUAAAAUCUGAGAUAACCUUCACAAAAGUCAUACAUUACCUUUUAACUUUUUUUUUCCCCACAAAUGCAACAUCAUGCUUAAAAUACGCAUCAUAUGAGCAUUCAUAAAUAUUUGGUUCUUCACCUAAACUAUUCUGUCGGAUUAACGCACUAAUUUACAACAAUAUUGUUGCAGAAAUAAAAAAUACACUUUUGACUUUACCAAUGUUUCAUACAUGUCCAACCAAGACAGUAAAGGAAGAACAGAUAUACACAAAGAGACACAUUUACAUAUAAUGGUAAAGGUUCAACAUUUCCUAGAUUAGAAUGCCCGUAAUGAAUAAGAAAAGACCUGUUUUGAGCCAAAAGGAAAAAAAAAAAUCCUCUUCUUCGUCUCAAGAUCCCCAAAGCUUCUCUUUUACCUAAAUCUAUUUUUUUUAAUAAAUUAAUUAAUUUCUUUUUAAUAAAAAGAAGGAUAAAGAAAUCAAUAAGAAAUAUUCAAUCGCACGUUGGAAGCCAGUGUUUGGUUGCAAGGAAAAUGAAGCAUACCACGCCGCCUGAAAUUGUGAGUUCCAAGAAAAUGGCCUCCGAAAUGAUCAUCCUGUAUUGAACAAAAACGCAUUCCAAUUAAUCACAAACUAAAGUCAAUAAAAACUGGGGCAAUAGCAAGGGCACCGGAGGCCUUACGUCAUCGAUACGAUUGUGGGUAGCCAAGCCAUGGAGCUUGAAUUCUCAAAACCCUAGAACUUGAUUUCGAAGAAUGAGAGGAUAGAGGCAACGACAUAAUAUUAUUAUUAUUACCGGCCAAAAUCAACCACUUUGGGGUUCAACUUUUCGGGAUUAUUGGUCUUAGGACAAGCCCAAUGAUGGGUGUGGUUGCAAACCUCCGUUGGGCUGAGGCAUUUAGAGCCCACUAUUGCAGCCUUAAGGCAGAUGGAACCCAAGCAAAACUUAGUGCAAUAUUAUCAAAUCAUCGAUCUUAACACAUCAGUAAAAUAAACUCCACAUAUCUAUUAGGAAAAGAAAAAAAAACAGGAACACAGUUGAUCACAUGGAUCAUCAUAAAAAAGAAAAAGAAAAAGAAAAAAAAGUGCAAUACAUUACGUUGAUGAAAUCACAUGAAAAGUUAAUUUAAUUGUAAGAAGCUAGCUAGCGGAGUCCAUUAAACUGGGGUACAACCCAGACUGCAGGCGGUAUAUAACCCUGCAAAUCAGAAUAAGGAUCUAAGGAGAAAUGUUGUGUGAUGGUUCCGCUCUCUAAAUUAAAAAUACCCAUAUCGCGACAUGGCAUGUCGUCAUAUAACGUAUCAUAUUGGAUAUGGUCUCCGUAAACAAAAGACGACGAUGAGAAAUCAUGGGUAUAAUAUAUGGAAUUUGACUGGCAUCCAUGAAAGUUGGAAGCCAAAACAGAAACGGAAUGAUUGUCACCUAUGAAAAAGGCAUCAUCUCCAAUGCUUUUUACCUCAACAUGUUGUAAAACAGAUCCGUCUUCGUCGUCGAACACCACUUUGUAAACCCUAAAGCUUUCAGUCAUAACAUUCUUGUAGGCCCCUUGUGUUUGUUUACAAACUCUUUCGAUAUGCAUUAAGUCUCCCUUGGUUGAUUCUACAAGAUAUCUUGUAGCUUUAUAACGGUGGAAGCCUGCGUCCCGAUGUGUAAGCAGCUUUAGUCGUCGUAUUCUUGAAGUAUAAGGGCUGACAUCUAAUGACCAAAUCUCUCCCUGAUGUCCAAGUAGGUGGACUUGGGUUUGGUAAGAUAUAACAUCAGUGACCGGAUGUGGGGGCUUAAUCCAAGUCCAACGUUUUUGGCUUCGGCCUCUUUUCAUACGAAUGAAAGCAAAUUCAUCAUAAAUGCCCACAAAAUGAUUAUCUUUACGUAACAGUGCUACAACCACAUAGUUUUCUGGAUUCAAAGCAGGGUCAGCAGAGAAGAUGACCUUUCUCACAUUGAAUUCGUGGAAGUAUUUGUCACGUUUCUUGGGUAUGAGUGUGACAUCCAAGAGAGGGAGAAGAAUGGGCGAUGCCGGAUUUCUGAAAGGGUCCCGGAGUGCUAUAAUCGGACCUUGGUCUGUGACGGAUUCUAUUGUGGCAAACCAACCGUGGCUAGAGCCACAUGACCUCUUUUUAAAAGGCACUUCCAAUCCAAUAUUGUUGUAGAUUUUGCCUUCAGCAAUGCUGUAUAAUGCUUUUCGGUGGUUAGUUUUCGUUAGGAGGAGGCUAUUCUUGCCGCCACCGCCGCCUUGACAUUCAUAUUCAUUAGGGAUCAAGAGCAUGGGAAGUAGGUUGUUAUGCCGCCACCGCUGUGUUGCUUGAUUAUAGUCUUUUGCAAGAGAACGCCAUUGCUUGCAGACGGCAGCAAAAGAAACAUGGUCAAUGGGCUCAAACAAAUUAUCUAGAACCAAAAACACAGGCAGCAGAGGAAGACUUGCCCAUUCUGGUGAUGAUAUGUACCUACUGCAACUGUAGUAUUUGAAGGCAACACCAGCGGCCAUGUUCCCACAACGACGCUUCUUAUUAUUAGGGUACAUGACACCAAAACGAACAAGCACUACAAAUUAAGAAGAAGAAGAAGAAGAAACAAAAUAUUGUACGUACCAAGAAACCAACCCUAAGAUUUUCCUGGCUAUUUAUAAAAUAUACGAAGCGGGUAGAGAAGAGAUAACACAUUAGCACAAGUCCUCUUGUAUGUAUAGAACUCAAAAUCGUAAUAAUCUCAUAGUAAGUAAUUAGGCAAUAAUAAUAUAAUAUUGCAAUAUUUUCGUUUUCUUUUCCUACUUCUUAUUAUAAUAUAUUGUUCGUUUAUUUCCUCGUUCAAUGGCAAGAGAAUCAAGUACGUACGGUAAAUAUUGGCUUUAUUUGGAAGGCAAAUAUUAAGUGAUAAAAUAUUAUAUUCUUGUUAAAUUAUGGCGAUUUGAUAUGAUUUUUCAAGGAUUUCGUGGAACUAUAAAUAACAAUUCUUUUGCAACCAGAAUUCUUAUACACUAAGUAAUCUUGGCCUCCAAGGAAUUAGGUCAGUCAACCAACCACUACUGUAUUUGUACUCACGUGCUCGGAUUAGGGCAUACCAUGGCAUUGGGGGUGGGCGAGAGGGGCCUUAGCCAUGGGCCUCCAAUUAAGGGCCCCUAAAUUUAUAUACAUAUAUACUAUUAUCCAAUUUAUUAUAAAUAAAUAAAGCAAUUAAAUUAAAUUUCUUCGUUUCCCCUUCCCAAAAAGUUUCUUCCUUUUCGCAAAAACAGAAACAUGUGCUUGACGAAGGCGACUCCUUCUCAAAGUCGAUAAAUAAUUCAAAAGUGCAUGUCAGAGUUUGAAUUUCAUAAUUUGAUUUUUGGGUCAAAUAUUGAAUGGCCCAUUUUAGCGCGCUUUUAUAAUUUUAACGGGCUUAAGAAUGGCCCCACCAGUACAAUGCACAAAAUUAAGCCCAAGUCCAUCUUCAUACCCGCGUUACACAGACCCGGUUAAACAAAACCCGAUUCGAGUCCGAGUCUCAAUGACACAGAGCCCUAAACUCCCACGAUGCUCUUGUUCGGGGCGAAAGCUUUCAGUAGUGGAUUUUACCAUGACCUGAAUACUGGUUGGUACUAUAGCAUGCGAGACAGUUUUCUUCCCUCUCGCCAAGUACCUCUUUCAUUCUCUUCAUUUUGGUGUUUUGAAAUCUAUUAUCUCUUUGAUAUUAGGUGGAGUGAUUUCUAGUUUGGUUGGAAAAUAUUAUUUUCAGGCUGAUAAUUUGGAAACAUAUGAAACCCAAGUGAGUGCUUCUCAGAAUCCCAUUCGAGAAGAGCUUUUUGCACAUGAAAAUGAAUGCAUAGUCUUAUAGAAUAGAAGCAGUUCCUCAGAAACCCUCAUUGCAAUUCCUAUUGUUUUUUUGUGUCAAGUGUUCUGCCCAUUAUCCUCAUCUCUGGAUUGAAACUACAAAUUUGAUGAUAUUCCAAAGUUUUAGACAUUUAAUUUUGUACUUGUUCAAAGCAGUGAACUGCUUCUUUUGUAAACCGACAACACAGAGUGCUGCAGCAGCAAUGAUCUGCCUGAAAAUCCCCCUCCCACCUCAGAAUGGUGCCCUGGUUCUCGCAUAUACCUCUGGAGAACGUGUCUUAUUUAUACUUUUGCUAUAUAUCUAUAUUAUGCUUCUUCUAAUUGUUUGUACCCAGUCAGAGCCGACCCCCGCGGACCGCAAAAAGGAACGGCGGACGGAAAAAAGGACCAACACUUAUCUUUCUCCUUUGCUGCCUCUGCUUCUUCGUCCUCCUCUUUUUCCUUUGUUGCCUCAGUGCCUCCUCUUCUACCUUCUCUUUGUCCUCUUCUUCUUCCUUCUUCUUCUCGUUUUUCUCCUUUGGUGCCUCGGCUUCUUGUUCUUGCUCUGUUUUUGUCACCUUCUUCUCCAGUGCCUCCUCCUUUUUCUCCUCAUCAAUCUUCCUUUUCAAUGCCUCUUCCUUCUCAGUUCUCAGCUCACUUAGCAAUCUUUUGGCAUUUGUCCUUUCAGUGCUUUCCACCUUACGCGUAGAAGAACCAGCAGCAGCCUUUGCUUUCUCCUCCUCCUCCUUCUCCAGAUAAGCAAUAACGAGAUUUCUAAUUGCUCUUUGAGUCAGUGGUAUGCCCAGACUUGUGUCACAUCCAUACUGACACAUCAACAUCAUCUGUUCCUCCUGGUCAAUGUCUACAGAGCCACUGACUAACCCAACAAUCAUACCUCGAAAUCCAAUAUUGUCCCUGAGAUAAGAGACAAUUUCCUGCAAUGCAAAAACAAAACAAACCAACCUUCUUCAUUUUCUUAAUCUAUUAAUAAAUUAAAUUGACACCACAAUAGUUGGAAUCAAUGUUUACCUUGCUCAACUCAUAGCCCACUACUACAACCACGUCUUCCCGGCAUCCUUUCCAAAACCGCUUGAAAAAUUCAUGUCUUGAUAUAUCUUCAGGAAUAACAGUCGGAGUCCCGGGGAUAUCGAACAUUUCUGCAUUGCCACCACCUAUAACUACAAUACGAACACACCGGAAGCAAAGAAAACCAUCUUCAUAUGGCCCUAGACCACCUAUGAAGAAAAAGAAGAAAAGACAGAAAAAGUCAAUUAAAUAAUAAUAAUAUGUUAAUAAAUUUACAAAAGAAAUCUUUCUUUUCUUCUCUUACCCGCGGAAUUACUGAGUUGCCAAACAAACUUGAAAGGGUCGGUGACGGUGGCCACCAGCACACCCGGACGCAGGGGGUCCUCGCCAACAUCUCUCAACACGUUACAUCCAUUCGUCUUUGCAAAAUCCCUUGCUGCUCUGAUGUCAGUGGAGUUGUGUAAAUUCAACUGAAGACAAGUAUUCCUGGUUUCAAACAGAGAAAAUAAUUAGGAUUGUUAAUGAAAUAAACUUUUGGCUUAGAGAAAAAAAAAUUGAAACAAACUUAUAAAACAUAAAUAAAAUAUAUGUAUACUUACAUAAGCAUGUCAUCGUCAGUUAUUAAUAAAUCACUUGAACCAAGUGUGAUUCGAUAACAAUGAAUAAGGUCCUCCUCGUCCUCUUGCCGCGGAAUGCUGUUGUAGUGCAAAGUCUUUCCUCCGAAGUAAUUACAAUAACAGUUGGUCGCGUUCGUAGCCUGGUUUGCUGGCACAAAAACUUUGGGUAUCAUGCUAAUCACUUUAAUUUCAGAGUCCAGAUGGUCAACAUUGGGCCCUGCCUCCAGAACCGGCCUUUCACAGUCUAUGACAAAUAAUAAAUUAAUUAAAACAUUUUUUUUUAUAAACAAUUAAAAUUAAUAAAACAAUUGAAAAUAUGCAAAUAAAUAUUCAAAAUUAUAAACGAUCCUAUGAGUCUAUGACAAAUAACAAAUUAAUUAAAAACUUUUUUUUAUUGAUUUUAAAAUUAUAAAACAAUUGAAAAUUUGCAAAUAAAUAUUCAAAGUUAUAAGCGAUACUAUGAUUAAUUAAAAACUUUUUUAUUUUAAAAUUAAUAAAAAAAUAUAUGCAAAAAUAUAUUCAAAAUUAUAAGCAUAUGACAAAUAAUAAAUUAAUUAAAUACUUUUUAAAAUUUAAAAUUAAUAAAAAAAAUUGAAAAUAUGCAAAUAGAUAUUCAAAGUCAUAAGCGAUCUGCGAUCCUAUGAAAAAUAAUAAAUUAAUUAACAAAUUAUUUUUAAAUUAAUAACACAAUUGAAAAUGCAAAUAAAUAUUCAAAAUUAUAAUCGAUCAUAUGAGUCUAUGACAAAUAAUAAAUUAAUUAAAAACUUUUUUAAUUUGAAAACUAAUAAAACAAUUGAAAAAAUAUGCAAAUAAAUAUACAAAAUUAUAAGCCAUCCUAUGACAAUUAAUAAAUUAAUUAAAAACUCUUUUAAAAAUAAUAACAAAACUAUUCAAAAUAUUCAAAAUUAUAAGCGAUAGCUUAUCCGAUCUUACAAAACGCAAUAGGAUUGCUUACUAUUGGUGAAUUGCCAGAAAAUUCCAUGCUCAUCUUUAACAUUCCAUUCACAAUGCUCGGCCAUCGGUGUAAAUUGCUCAGUGUUCAGAAUCUUCUUAGCGAACUGUUCCGGAUCGGAGCACCGAAGCCGGAGACACAGCAUCGGAGGCGAUAGGUCUGUCCGGGAGCGGGCCGGACAAGUGAUGAUAAGGAGAUCUGAACCUAUCAGUAUCUCAGCCAUCUCUGGAUCAUUGCUCACGAUCUUAGCACCAAAAACUUGCCGGUAGAAGCGUGCGGCAGUGGUGACCUCCGACGGAGCCACCACAAGCAGUGGCGUCAGCUCCAUUGAAUAGAAGCGGAGCUAAAUGUGGAAGAGGAAUGAGACAGAGAGCUGAUUGCAGAAAUGAGAGAGAGAGAGAGAGCUGAUUGGGGAGAGAAAUGAGAGAGAGAUGAGAGAGAGCAGAAUUUCAAAAAUCAAGGCGCGGUUUGGGUUUAUAUAGCAGAAGGGAAGCGGUAGUUUCAAAAAUUACAAGCGUGGCUUUGUUCAUAUAACGGAACAGAAGGGAAGCGCCAGAGUUAGUUAUGUUCUGGAGUCGGAUUUCAUUUUGGGUUAAUUUUUAAUUCAGGUCCGUCCGAGUUUGUUAUUGAUGAUUGAUUUUGGUUUAAUAUUUAUUUCAGGUCCGAGUUAAUUAUUGAUGAUUAGUGAAUGAAUGGGAAUGCAAGGCACCAUGUUGAGUUUGGAGCCGAUGGUUUGCCGAGCCCACGAAUACUUUCGAUGAGUAUGAUACAGAAUACUCUUUUAUUGAUGAUGCUGAGUUGGUAUUUGCAUUUAUUCAUUAAUCUGUGUUGGCCAUUGUACUGAUUUAAUUGGUGGCAUUUUAUAUUUAUGGAUUUGCUAAUGCUACUUCUUUAUGUUUUGCGCAGGAUGAGUAUUUUAAAGUUGACAAUUCAGCAAUAAAACAUGAUGGAUUCUUUGUUAACAGGGGAAAACUGGAACGCAUGUGAGUUUCCUUCAAUCUUUUACCUGAUUGUAUUUAUGUAUAGUUUUUUUCCUUAAUUGCAUAGUCUAUACAUACAAGACUUUAUUCACUUAAUUUCUUCUUUGAUUUGGUACUGAAUAAGGUCAUAUUAUUUCCUUUCGAGUGGCCACCAUGAUUCGUGUAUGGCCUAUGGAAGUCUCGACUUUAACACGGUUUCUCUUUUGAGUACGUAAAAGUGAUGGUAAAAUAAAACCAUGUGUGUUAUUUGACAGAACAGAUGGAAUGUCAAAUGUUCUCUUCCUUGAUCUACAUGUGAUUACUGCCUGUAGAUAUAUGUGGACUGUAUGUUGUGUGUUCCAGUAGGGAUUUGAAGGCAUAGACUUUGUAUAAUUUUCUUUGUCUCUUUCCCUGGUUGAUCAGUGGUAUCAGCUGUUUCUGUUGGACCCAUUUGCUUGUGUUUAAAUAAUUUGAACAUGAGAAGCUAUGCUUGGUUUUUGCUAUGUAAUACGUCAAUGGAGGAAUUGAGUUUGCCUAAUCAUUGAAAUCAGUUUCAGUUUCAUACUUUGGUUUUGACAUUGUGGUCUUUUAUUAGUUAAUUUUUGACAUUUUCUUCAUUUAUUGAAUUUUUUUUUUACAUGGAUAGCGUUACUGGUAAGACAGCAGCAGCAGCAGCAAAGAUUACACUGACACUAGUGAAGAACUCAUCUGCUCCCAUUAUAACCACCGAACACCGUGAAGAUGUGAAAUUUCAGAACUAGUUGGGUGGACAUUCAUCCAGGAAGAAGUCUACUGAUUCUAAAACAAUUCUGGAUCCUUCUCUUUUGAAAGUUUCUGAGGGAGACGCUGAUGCACUGCAAAAAGCGGAGGUUAAGGCUAUUAACAAGCAGAACGCAGGAGUCCUGUUGUCGAAGGACCCAAGUAACAGGUUUGCAUUUAUAUCUCAGGCAUAUAAACAGGAGAUGUUUAAAUGAAAAUGUAACUUGGGCGUUUUCAAUUGUUGAAACUGUACUCUUGUUAAGUUCAAUUGAUUAAUUAGCCGGAGUAAAGCUUUCAAGUUUUACCUGGGACACAAGCAAUGCUACAUAAGAAGUAACAGUCAACAUCCAAGGGAGAUGGUUUCAGCCAUGAUCAUGAAUGCCCUCCUAACCAUUGAUAACCUCGUGCUAUCAGACUAUCAGUUUUAUGUUUACGUGAAAAAUACACUAGUCCUGUGUGUACCUGAAUAUGUUAAACUAUUAAUCUAUUAUCUGCUUAUACUCUUAUAUAUGCACGUGCAGCAUGGUAUGGUGCACCAACCAAUUGCAGUUUUAUUGUAGCCAUAUUUAGUUUUAUUCCGUUUAAGAUGUUGAGGAGUAUAUGCAUUUCCCUGAUAGUUUGUCUCCGGCAUGAAAGAUAUGCAUAUAGGGAUGGAGCUGCUGAUAGAAGAGCUUUAUUUGUUUAUUUAUUUAGUUUUGCAGGCGCUUCAAAUUUGGGGCCUUGCUCAGCUUUUGUUCCUCUGGUUUGUAUGUGUGCAGGGGGAGGCACUUGGCAAAAGUACAAAGGGAUUAGCUGAACCUAUUCAAGCACACAGCAACAUUGGUAAUGCUCGAGGCAGGCUUUGAGAAUGUGGUGAGGGAGGCAGUGCAAUGGAAAUAACCUGUUGUUCAGCACCUGGUGCAAGCAAGCAAAUGUCGUUGAACCAAAGCUAAAGGCACCUGGUGCAUUCACAUGGGAUUUUCUACUUAAGUCAAUUAUUCUUGAAUCAAAUAUUGGUUUUCGCAAAAUUUGAUUAGAUGAAUGCACUUCUGUCCAUUUUCAAAUAACAACUUAAUUGACCGAUUAGUCAUAUGCGUGUAAAGUCAGCACUACACAUAUCAUGCAAGACUGUUUUGUUAGAAAGAAAAACACACUUGAAAAACAGAUUGAUCUUGCCAAUAACAAAUCUGAUUCUCAUUGGCUCAAGUACAAAUUUAUUUCAUUUGCUCAGCUCAUAACAAGAAAUCAACCACGGUUGAUGUUGAAGGGUUAGGCCACGGCACUUGGACUGUGACCAUCUUAUCAACAAAAUCAAACUUUACCUCCUCUCCAUCAAUCUUACAAGCACUUGGCCUUUCAGAAGCAAACACACUCAUUUCCCCACAACCCUUCACUCCAAUUCUCACCAAAUUUGAGGAGUUUUCUUCAUCCUCAAAUUCCAGCGACUGAAUUGCACCACCCGUGUUGAGCAUGUUCACCAACCCAAUUGGAGCAAAUUGGAUAAACUUCUUUGGCAAAACCCUCACUGGAGAAACAGUGAGGAGCUUAAAAUCGAAAGGCUGAAGCGAAAUCUCUACCUUCUCUGAAAGCUUCAAGAGCUUCAGCUUCUUUUGCUGGUGCAUGUACACAGCAAAUAUGUUCAUUCCUUUGAUUGAAAUUGGGCUCUUCCCAUUGUUCCACUCUAUAUCUUUUGGGCCAGACAAGCAGGUCAAAGGCUUUGAGCACUCAGGGGCACUUAUGUUGCGCCUGGAUUUGGGGCACCAUCCUCCUCCUUGGCAAUUAAAUAAUCCCAAUGCUCCAGUGUACUGUGUACUGGCACAAAAUCAUACAAAAAGAUUGAAUUAGCACUAUCACUCAAAAGGUUAUCUUACUUUUAUUCUAUUUUAUAAUUCACUACCACUCACGAUAGCAUUUCUUAAUCUUACUUUGUUUAGGUUCCAAAUUUUGAGCAUGGUUUUCCCAUCAUGCACAGGGUCUUCAAAGAGGCAAUCCCUAGUAGGAAGAGCAUAGUGCUGGCAUCGCAAUACAGAGCCAUCUGGCAACACAAGGCUCUUAAGAAGCUUGAAGUUGUGCUUCCCAACAGAGUCACUGAUGUAGAUUGGGCCUCCGGAUAUAGCUCUUGAUGCAGCGUGGAAUUCAGCACAUGGGUGUAUGAUGUUGCCCAUCCACAGGCUGCUGUAGGCACAAUGCACUGCGUGACACCCUUGCAGCCAAUACGUCCCAUCUGCUACCCCCGUGGUCUUAGACCAGAAAUCAUCCCCUACGUAAAUGUGAAGAAAUUAAUACACGUGUGUACUACUGAUGCUAGAAUAUAACUUGUAAAAGACGUACCGACACAUCCAAGGUACAUGAAGUCAUUGCAGUGCUGCAUGCUGGCAAUUACUCCAUUGCCAUUGAAAUGCUUCUUCAUGGAAUCAGUCAGUGCCUUGUAAUAAGCUUUAGCCAGCUCAACUCGACCACCAAACUCCUCGAAUAGCAUCUCAAGCAACUGCAACCAACCAUGGCAUGAAAAUGUUUCAGGAGGGUGGAUGAAGUAAGUUCUAGAGUGCACACAUAACAAUACUUUUAAUUAAUAAAUAAUUUCAAGCUUCUCUUUUUACCUAAAUCUAUUUUUUUUAAUAAAUUUAUUUAUUUAUUUUUAAUAAAAAGAAGGAUAAAGAAAUCAAUAAGAAAUAUUCAAUCGCACGUUGGAAGCCAGUGUUUGGUUGCAAGGAAAAUGAAGCAUACCACGCCGCCUGAAAUUGUGAGUUCCAAGAAAAUGGCCUCCGAAAUGAUCAUCCUGUAUUGAACAAAAACGCAUUCCAAUUAAUCACAAACGAAAGUCAAUAAAAACUGGGGCAAUAGCAAGGGCACCGGAGGCCUUACGUCAUCGAUACGAUUGUGGGUAGCCAAGCCAUGGAGCUUGAAUUCUCAAAACCCUAGAACUUGAUUUCGAAGAAUGAGAGGAUAGAGGCAACGACAUAAUAUUAUUAUUAUUACCGGCCAAAAUCAACCACUUUGGGGUUCAACUUUUCGGGAUUAUUGGUCUUAGGACAAGCCCAAUGAUGGGUGUGGUUGCAAACCUCCGUUGGGCUGAGGCAUUUAGAGCCCACUAUUGCAGCCUUAAGGCAGAUGGAACCCAAGCAAAACUUAGUGCAAUAUUAUCAAAUCAUCGAUCUUAACACAUCAGUAAAAUAAACUCCACAUAUCUAUUAGGAAAAGAAAAAAAAACAGGAACACAGUUGAUCACAUGGAUCAUCAUAAAAAAGAAAAAGAAAAAGAAAAAAAAGUGCAAUACAUUACGUUGAUGAAAUCACAUGAAAAGUUAAUUUAAUUGUAAGAAGCUAGCUAGCGGAGUCCAUUAAACUGGGGUACAACCCAGACUGCAGGCGGUAUAUAACCCUGCAAAUCAGAAUAAGGAUCUAAGGAGAAAUGUUGUGUGAUGGUUCCGCUCUCUAAAUUAAAAAUACCCAUAUCGCGACAUGGCAUGUCGUCAUAUAGCGUAUCAUAUUGGAUAUGGUCUCCGUAAACAAAAGACGACGAUGAGAAAUCAUGGGUAUAAUAUAUGGAAUUUGACUGGCAUCCAUGAAAGUUGGAAGCCAAAACAGAGACGGAAUGAUUGUCACCUAUGAAAAAGGCAUCAUCUCCAAUGCUUUUUACCUCAACAUGUUGUAAAACAGAUCCGUCUUCGUCGUCGAACACCACUUUGUAAACCCUAAAGCUUUCAGUCAUAACAUUCUUGUAGGCCCCUUGUGUUUGUUUACAAACUCUUUCGAUAUGCAUUAAGUCUCCCUUGGUUGAUUCUACAAGAUAUCUUGUAGCUUUAUAACGGUGGAAGCCUGCGUCCCGAUGUGUAAGCAGCUUUAGUCGUCGUAUUCUUGAAGUAUAAGGGCUGACAUCUAAUGACCAAAUCUCUCCCUGAUGUCCAAGUAGGUGGACUUGGGUUUGGUAAGAUAUAACAUCAGUGACCGGAAGUGGGGGCUUAAUCCAAGUCCAACGUUUUUGGCUUAGGCCUCUUUUCAUAUGAAUGAAAGCAAAUUCAUCAUAAAUACCCACAAAAUGAUUAGCUUUACGUAACAGUGCUACAACCACAUAGUUAUCUGGAUUCAAAGCAGGGUCAGCAGAGAAGAUGACCUUUCUCACAUUGAAUUCGUGGAAGUAUUUGUCACGUUUCUUGGGUAUGACAUCCAAGAGAGGGAGAAGAAUGGGCGAUGCCGGAUUUCUGAAAGGGUCCCGGAGUGCUAUAAUCGGACCUUGGUCUGUGACGGAUUCUACUGUGGCAAACCAACCGUGGCUAGACCCACAAGACCUCUUUUUAAAAGGCACUUCCAAUCCAAUAUUGUUGUAGAUUUUGCCUUCAGCAAUGCUGUAUAAUGCUUUUCGGUGGUUCGUUUUCGUUAGGAGGCGGCUAUUCUUGCCGCCGUCGCCUUGGCAUUCAUAUUCAUUAGGGAUCAAGAGCAUGGGAAGUAGGUUGUUAUGCCGCCACCGCUGUGUUGCUUGAUUAUAGUCUUUUGCAAGAGAACGCCAUUGCUUGCAGACGGCAGCAAAAGAAACAUGGUCAAUGGGCUCAAACAAAUUAUCUAGAACCAAAAACACAGGCAGCAGAGGAAGACUUGCCCAUUCUGGUGAUGAUAUGUACCUACUGCAACUGUAGUAUUUGAAGGCAACACCAGCGGCCAUGUUCCCA